CAGUCGCCACGGGAAUACGUAGGUGGCAAGCGUUGUCCGGAAUUAUUGGGCGUAAAGGGCUCGCAGGCGGUUUCUUAAGUCUGAUGUGAAAGCCCCCGGCUCAACCGGGGAGGGUCAUUGGAAACUGGGAAACUUGAGUGCAGAAGAGGAGAGUGGAAUUCCACGUGUAGCGGUGAAAUGCGUAGAGAUGUGGAGGAACACCAGUGGCGAAGGCGACUCUCUGGUCUGUAACUGACGCUGAGGAGCGAAAGCGUGGGGAGCGAACAGGAUUAGAUACCCAGUAGUCCCUGUCUCUUAUACA
RNAcentral lists this ribosomal RNA (301 nucleotides) under uncultured bacterium. RNAcentral's name for it is "partial 16S ribosomal RNA". It matches the Rfam family "Bacterial small subunit ribosomal RNA", at positions 509 to 808 of the family's 1533-position model. The record is from RNAcentral.